RNAcentral lists this ribosomal RNA (243 nucleotides) under uncultured Actinomycetales bacterium. Its description in RNAcentral is "partial 16S ribosomal RNA". It matches the Rfam family "Bacterial small subunit ribosomal RNA", at positions 88 to 334 of the family's 1533-position model. The record is from RNAcentral. Lineage: Bacteria; Bacillati; Actinomycetota; Actinomycetes; Actinomycetales.
UACUCGAGUGGCGAACGGGUGAGUAACACGUGGGUGAUCUGCCCUGCACUUCGGGAUAAGCUUGGGAAACUGGGUCUAAUACCGGAUAGGACCGCACUUUAGUGUGUGUGGUGGAAAGUUUUUUCGGUGUAGGAUGAGCUCGCGGCCUAUCAGCUUGUUGGUGGGGUAAUGGCCUACCAAGGCGGCGAGGGGUAGCCGGCCUGAGAGGGUGUACGGCCACAUUGGGACUGAGAUACGGCCCAG